GUUCCGCCCCUGGUAGUUAGGAGCUCUUAGAAGUCCUCUCCCACCAUACAGCUAUCGAGCUUUUCUAGAGGAAGAGCUGAUGAAAAGAGUCACAGCUGAAUAGUGGAGAGAAAAAGCCCGGUAUUUAUUGCUUUUGUUUGGCUUUUGGCUACAGAGACAGGAACCUUCUAAUGGGGAGGUGUUUAGCCAGUAACCCGGGAAACUCGAGGACUCCCACAC
RNAcentral lists this long non-coding RNA (219 nucleotides) under Ailuropoda melanoleuca (giant panda). RNAcentral's name for it is "lncRNA (ENSAMEG00000023723.1)". Lineage: Eukaryota; Metazoa; Chordata; Mammalia; Carnivora; Ursidae. The record is from RNAcentral.